RNAcentral lists this ribosomal RNA (253 nucleotides) under uncultured bacterium. RNAcentral describes it as "partial 16S ribosomal RNA". It matches the Rfam family "Bacterial small subunit ribosomal RNA", at positions 524 to 776 of the family's 1533-position model. The record is from RNAcentral.
CACGUAGGGCGCAAGCGUUGUCCGGAAUUAUUGGGCGUAAAGAGCUCGUAGGCGGCUUGUCGCGUCGGUUGUGAAAGCCCGGGGCUUAACUCCGGGUCUGCAGUCGAUACGGGCAGGCUAGAGUUCGGUAGGGGAGAUCGGAAUUCCUGGUGUAGCGGUGAAAUGCGCAGAUAUCAGGAGGAACACCGGUGGCGAAGGCGGAUCUCUGGGCCGAUACUGACGCUGAGGAGCGAAAGCGUGGGGAGCAAACAGG